UGGGGAAUAUUGCACAAUGGGCGCAAGCCUGAUGCAGCCAUGCCGCGUGUGUGAAGAAGGCCUUCGGGUUGUAAAGCGCUUUCAGCGAGGAGGAAGGUGGUGAGCUUAAUACGCUCAUCAAUUGACGUUACUCGCAGAAGAAGCACCGGCUAACUCCGUGCCAGCAGCCGCGGUAAUACGGAGGGUGCAAGCGUUAAUCGGAAUUACUGGGCGUAAAGCGCACGCAGGCGGUUUGUUAAGUCAGAUGUGAAAUCCCCGGGCUCAACCUGGGAACUGCAUUUGAAACUGGCAAGCUAGAGUCUCGUAGAGGGGGGUAGAAUUCCAGGUGUAGCGGUGAAAUGCGUAGAGAUCUGGAGGAAUACCGGUGGCGAAGGCGGCCCCCUGGACGAAGACUGACGCUCAGGUGCGAAAGCGUGGGGCAGCAAACAGGAUUAGAUACCCUGGUAGUCCAGCGCUGUAAACGAUGUCGAUUUGGAGGUUGUGCCCUUGAGGCGUGGCUUCCGGAGCUAACGCGUUAAAUCGACCGCCUGGGGAGUACGGCCGCAAGGUUAAAACUCAAAUGAAUUGAC
This 569-nucleotide ribosomal RNA is filed under the name uncultured bacterium. RNAcentral describes it as "partial 16S ribosomal RNA". It matches the Rfam family "Bacterial small subunit ribosomal RNA", at positions 355 to 914 of the family's 1533-position model. The record is from RNAcentral.